AUGCAGGAAACACUGAUAUCUGGGAAUACAAGCUUUGCCACUGCUGGGUUGCAGCAAGGUCAACAAUUUCCCCAACAACAAAUGUUUUCCUUCCCUAGCGCAUGCAGAAAGGCAAGGACACAUAGGCUUCCACCAGUCGCUCCAUCAACAUCAAUCAUCCGUGCUGCAAAAGCAGUUGCGACAGGAAGACCAGGCCAAAGAGACAUAAAUGUUGGCCAUUCUAGUAGGGUGCAAAGUAGAAGAUAUGAGCCAUAUAGACAGGAGCAACCUAACAACAAAUCUGAGGGAAGACGACCGUACAAUGAGAGACGGAGAGCUUCAUCAACAUUGCUCCCUCCAAGAGAUGCAUUGUUGCAUGUGCCAAGGGUGACACCACCCGCGCCCAUACACCAGGGUGAACAGCUAACACCGGAGGCAGCACAGAUCUAUACACAUCCACCUAACAUUGAAGCCUAUGUUCUACAAAGGCUAGAUAUGUGUUUUGAAACUUUCAAAGGAGCAAAGGACUUCUACAACGUCUAUGCAAAGCACGCGGGUUUUGAUGUGUCAGAAGCAAAUAGACAGCGGAACAAGACGAUAGCCAGGACUAACUGCGGGGCUAAAAUGAGGCUAAAGAGGGAAAAGGAUGGAACACUUGUCGUAAAAGAGAUUGUAUGGGAACACAACCACAGGCUACAUCUCUCCCCCCAAAUGCUUGUCUUCUUGCACUCACACAAAAACAUUGGCAAAACAAUCUUGGAGUACAUCAAGUACCUGCAGUUCAAAGGCAUUGAACACGUGCAAAUCAUGAGCAUACUGGGCGGUGAUGACCCCGGUAGCUACUUCCGCGAAAUGAAUGCCAAAGCCUUAUUAACAUCAAAGAAUUCAAGGAUGGAUGAUGUGGACGAUGUCCUAAAGACUGUCAACUUCUUUAGGGAGAUGAAAGCGAUAAACAGGGAAUUCUUCUGCGACAUACAACUUGAUGAGUCUGACAGAGUUAAGAACGUAUUCUGGGUGAACGCAAGCUGCCGAGGGGUGUAUCAAGACUUUGCUUAA
This 1035-nucleotide ribosomal RNA is filed under the name Triticum aestivum (bread wheat). RNAcentral's name for it is "partial small subunit ribosomal RNA". The record is from RNAcentral. Lineage: Eukaryota; Viridiplantae; Streptophyta; Magnoliopsida; Poales; Poaceae.